AUGUUAACUAUUGUUCUUCCUGCCUGCCUGCUGCGCACAGCCCAGGCUGCCGGAAGCUUCCUUGGAAAGUUACACACAGGAGAGAGCCAAGGGUGGGGACCCAUGACUGGAUGAGGAAGUGGCUUAGCUCAGCACUUACCCUCCUCUUGUCCCAGCCCACCUGGUGGACAGGUCGUGGCCCCCAGGAGCCCGUGUCCAUCUACGCAAGUUAGCGGGCUCUCGAGGGCAGGGCUGUGCCUCCCUUAUCUCACGAGGGUCUGGCAGAGUGGGUACCAUUCAUAUUUGCUGUCUGGACAAGCGCGAGAGCAGGUGAGUGGGGUGGGGGGACAUGGGGCAGACGAUGGGAGCACGUGGCUUCUCCGGGAGGCGCUAGUCUAGGGAAGGAGGGGUGAGUGGGAAAGUGUGACGGGGAAGAGGGAAAAGCCAAUAAGGGGGAAAAGGGAGCAGGCUACCCAGUGGGCACCUGGGGCUCGGCCCCCCUGGGGGUCCACUGAGCGACUGUGAGCAGUGUGCCUAGAGCCGUCCUACCCAGUGACCGGUAGGCUGGAGUGUUUGGUCACUGGCCACCAUCCAUCACUGGGUCAAGGCUGCCCCCGUGAACAUUCCGGCCCUGGCGUUUCUGGGUACCCUGUGGGAAGUUGGCUCCUGUGGUGCCAGAGAAAGUUCCAGGCAGGGAAGUGGAGACAUGACGGCUGGGGACGGGAUAGGGGGUAUCCCCCUUUGCAGUGCUCAUUACGGAGCAGGGGACCUCAGAACGAGGGAAUAGGGGCAAUGCACGAACAGCAUCCGCUCCGGGUAAACAUUGCACGUGUGGACUCAUGGCUGGACAUGAGGGUGGACAAGGGGUCAGUGAGCUGGGGAGAGAGGAGCUGGUCAGUGGGGUGACCCUAAGGACCACAUCUUCUCCUGCUUCAUUUCACCGGCGAAGGCUUCUGAAUUGUCAAAGCUAGAAGAACAGGAGGGAAGGCAGCAAAGGGUCAUUGCCACGGGCUUUCCCAACCCAAAGACUGAUGUCAGGGACUGCCCCCCGACUGAGACUCUAUGUCCUACACUUGCCCUGCACACACACAGGGCUGCCCCUCGCAGACACUUGUCCCGCAGGACUGAAGCUGCCGCUCGGGGGCUGGAACCCAAGAAGAAAACCAGAAACCAGGGAGCUAAUUCUUCAGCCUCCUCCGUACUGCUCCUGGCCCACAAACUCCCCCCAGAUCCACAAGCUCCUGCUUCCUGUCCCCUCCCCACCAACAUCCUUCUGCCUCUUGACUUUGCAUGUGCUGUUCCCUCUGCCCGCAAUGCACCCCCACUAUGAUCAAUGUGGAAAACUCCUUUAGGAAUCCAUAGGGCUCUGCUCAAAUGCCAGGUCCUGCACGAAGCCUCUGGUCCCAAGGAACGUCUCCUUCCCUUCUGCUCCCUCGAGACUUCCCUUAGAUCCCAAAUGUUACACUUACCAGCAUCCUUCUGGAGUUCUGGGGUCCUGAGGAACAAAGACCAUCCCCGUGUCACAACUGCAUGCCUGGCGCCCAGCCCAGAGCCUGGUAUGGAUUCAGGGCCUCAGUUUCCUCAUCUGGAACAUGGGAGUGAUCACGGCACCUACCUCAUCAUGCUGUUGUGAAGUUCAGUAGCUGUAUUCAGAGCCACGCCUGGUACAAGGGCAUAUCCAGCCCCACCCCCUUUCUGCCCAGAAGUCAGUGCCCGCCCCGCCGCAGGUCCCAGAGCCCCGAUGGGGACCUGGGGCUUGGAAGAUAAAGGGACCGGGACAUCGUCCACCUGUGUAGAAGACUGGUCAUUUGGAGAGAGUUCGCCCAGCCCAGCGCCAGACAGGGAGCCCCAGGAGCCCUCCUGCCACCUUGCCCUCUGUGGAGACAGCCCUCCAGCCCCUCAGGCCUGGGCCCUGAGCUCUCAACAGGGCCCAUGACUCGUCCUCCUGGCCUUCAAGCCUCCAAGGAGGCACCUCCUUUCUGCAGCUGCAGCAGGUCAAGAGCCUCAUCCGAGGAGGAAGUGAAAGCCCCGCGUGGGUGAGUCAUCGAGGGUCCUGGCCUGGAGGGGCCUGCCGGGAGUGGCACGGGGCGGGGAGAAGAGCCUGGCAGGAAGGGGUGCCACCACGAGGAGGGAGAGCUAGGAGGCCACCGAACGUGAAGGACGUGAAAUCACCUGCAGACCCUGGUGGUCUUUAGCGGGAGAGGAUGUGCAGAGAUACCAUCCACAGUCGUGUCUCUGAGGGCUGGCGUGGGGCAGAGCAGCCAGACAGGGAGGUCACAGAGGUGACCUAGGCAGUCACCUAGCAGUUAGGGUGGCCACUGGCAGGCGGGGAGGUGGGCAGGCCGUGGGCUCUGGAUCUCAACCUCCUGCCUCGGGGCCCCGGUCCUGCCUCUCACUAGCUUCGUGACCGCAGGCACACGGCUUCCUCUCUCCUUUGCCCUGCUUCCUCUUCCGUCAAGUGGUGAGGGUCCCUAACCUGGACAUUAGCCUCUGAAAGGCACCUGGAAGCGUCCCUGGUCCAAGGAAACCGCAACAAACAGCGACUACUGUACCAGGCAGGGUCUCUGCAGGAAAACCAAAACACUCGGUUUCUAAAUUAUUUUCAACAUUUACUUACUUUUGAGAGACAGAGCGUGAGCAGGGGAGGGGCAGGGAGAGAGGGAGACACAGAAUCCAAAGCAGGCUCCAGGCUCUGAGCUGUCGGCACAGAGCCUGAAGCAGGACUCGAACUCACGACCUGUGAGAUCAUGACCUGAGCCGAAGUCAGACGCUUAACCGACUGAACCAUCCAGGCGCUCUUGAAACACUAGGUUUCUAACAGAAGGAAGUCAAUACAGGGACUGCCAAGAAGGUUAGAAGAAACCCAGCGGGGGGAUAGUGCUGCUACCCACAGAUGAGCGACAGCGGGAAGCUGGUGGCACCUCCAAGCCUGGAGGCCAACGGGAGGAGGUGACUGAUCAGAGGGAGACACGAGGAGAAGGGCACUUCACGUCACGGCGGGGAUGGGUUGUGCUCACAGGGUGAGCAAGCAGUCUGGGGGACCAGGCAGGGAAGGAAGGGGUGGGAGAGGGUGACACAGACUCAGCACAGACUUGAGUCAUAUUCUACUUCCUAGUGGUGCCACCUGAUUUACCUCUCAGAGCCUCAAUUUCCUCACCUAUGAAACAGAAAUAAGAAUAACACAUAAUAGGAGCAAACACUUCUUCAACUUUCAGUUCUCACAUAGCCCCAUGGAGCAGGGACUAUCACUAUUAUGCCCAUUAUACCGAUGAGGAAACCGAGGCACAGAGAUCCAGUCACACAACUGGUAUGUGGCAGGGCAGAUCUGACCCAGCCUGUUGGGUCCCCAAGUCCUGCUCUUUGCCACUCACGCGAUGCUCCCCAAUCGGCCAUCCGUGGCUCUCUCCCCAGCCCGUCUCACCCGGUUCAACGCCUCUCUCCUCCUGAGAAUUUUACCCAGUGCCUCCAACCCAGGCUGGUUGUCAGCAUCUGCUCCCAACAAUAGCACCGGACGGCAGACUUACCACUUUCCUCCUAGGCCCUGGGUCCCUGGAGUCACACUGACGUGGGUGUGAGCCCUGGCUCGGCGGUUUUCCAGCCGUGGCGCCCGAGAGAAGCCACUUCCCUUCCGAAAGCCUCAGUGUCCUCGACUUUGGUGUGAGGGCCUUGUCCUAAGUUCAUUGGGCUCUGGUGGGGACAGCGUGAAUCCAACGUUCAGGGGGCAUGCGGCCCAGGGCAGGUGUGUGUAUGUGUGCGUGUGUGUGCACGCACGAAGCCCAUCGAACUCUUAUCAAAACUUAGUCAUAUCCCCAGUCUCGGGGACAGUGCCAAUUAUGUCUUUGCUUUUCCCGAGUUCCCAGCCCCUGCAGAGUGCAACAUGGGGAAGUACUGGGCAUUGUCCGUCUGCGCUCGCUCGCGACUGCCCGUCUCCCGCAGCCUGCUUUUCCCAGG
This is a long non-coding RNA of Acinonyx jubatus (cheetah), 3930 nucleotides long. RefSeq lists it as uncharacterized. Lineage: Eukaryota; Metazoa; Chordata; Mammalia; Carnivora; Felidae. The record is from RefSeq and is a predicted model, not a curated record. The transcript has 3 exons.